Eriocheir sinensis (Chinese mitten crab) is the source of this 11049-nucleotide RNA transcript. It is a transcript of the gene named protein Hook homolog 3-like, with no coding region annotated. The record is from RefSeq and is a predicted model, not a curated record. Lineage: Eukaryota; Metazoa; Arthropoda; Malacostraca; Decapoda; Varunidae. The transcript is spliced from 19 exons.
CCACAACAACCUCAGUCUGGCUUGAGCGGUGAGGGAGGGAGGGUGUGACGCUCUGACUCGGAUUGCUAUGUGAAGUUCAAGUGAUAACAGGCUAAUAAUGGCGACCAGCUCACUCUGCAACAGCCUCCUUAAAUGGCUGGAGACGUUUCCGGGGAGACAAGGAACCCGGAUCUCGGAUUUAACGGAUGGGGUGUUGAUGGCGAACGUUCUGCACCAAAUCGCGCCGGAGUACUUUUCCGACUACUGGUUAACGAGGAUAAAAACAGACGUGGGAGACAACUGGAGACUGAAGGUGUCCAAUCUCCGCAAGGUGCAACAGGGCGUGGUGGACUACUACCAGGAACAGCUGAACCAGAGCAUACGACACUUCCCCCUUCCCGACCUCAACAAGAUAGGUGAACAUGGGGAUGCCGUGGAGAUGGGUCGGAUGCUGCAGCUCCUCCUUGGAUGUGCCGUCAACUGCGAGAACAAGCAGCAAUACAUCGAGGAGAUCAUGAACAUGGAAGAGCGUGUUCAAAAGGUCAUCAUGGAAGCAAUACAGGAACUCAUGCUCAGAGAGGGCUCACCGGGGGCCUUCGGAGGGGACGCGGAGGGCCGAGGUGAGGCGCUGGGGCUCUCGGGUCUAGGGGGUCCAGCGUCCUUCCACCCGCACCUCAAGACCAUCCUGGAGCAAUUGGAGGCGGCCACGCAGGGGAAGGAAGAGGCGAUUCAGACUUGUCAUGAACUUGAGCAACAGAUCUCCGUGCUGAAGGAGGAGAAGGUGUCACUGGCCAGCGAGAACGAGAGGCUGGUGGGCCGUCUGGAGGCAUGGGAGGCCGGGGCAGACCUGGGCGCCGGUUCAUCGUCCACGCUACGAUACAAGGACCUCCGGAAGCAGAUUGAAGGCCUCCAGGACGAGCUCUUCAAACUGGAAACAUCGAGGGAUGAGUACCGCUCCCGUGCCGAGGUCCUGGGGCGUGAGAACCAGGAGGUGCAGGCCAAGAACGAGGAACUGCAGCAGCUGGCGGACCAGGCGCGCUCCCUUAAGGACGAGGUCGACGUGCUACGGGAGAUGAGCGAGCGGGCCGUCGUGUACGAGGGGACCGUCGAAACUUACAAGAAGAAACUGGAGGAGCUGAGCGACCUCAAGCGACAGAUGCGGAUACUGGAGGAGAAGAAUUCUGACUACAUGCAGCACAAUAUGGAGCUGGAGGAGGAGCUGAAGAAGAGUGGCACGUGGCGGCCCCAGCUGGACAUGUACAAGAAGCAGGUUGCCGAGCUGCACCAGAAGCUUGCCGAGGAGGCCAAGAAGACCGACCGUCAGAUCUUCGAGAACAAGAAGCUGGCAGAGAAGAUGGAGGCGCUGGUGCAGGAGAGAGACCGUCUGGCCAAGGAGCGAGAUGGGCUGAAGGAAACCAUCGAGGAGCUGAAGUGUCACAUCUCCACCAUCACCUCCCCCGACACAGCCUCCAGGCCGCCCUCAGACCUCUCGGACGUGGAGCUGCUGGAUGCUGUGCCACAUGAGUUCAGGGAGCGUCUGAUGCGGCUGCAGUAUGAAAACAGUGUGCUCAAGAAGGCAGCAGAGGGCGGCAGCAGUGAGCAGCUCCCAAUGCUGCAGACCCUCGUGGCUGACUUGCAGGAGCGCCAGAACUCCCUCACUCUGGAGAACAGACAGCUGAACACCAGGAUCAUGGAGCUGGAGAGUGAGGUGGAGGAAGCGCGUGUGCCCUCCGUCCCCUCCACCGCCUCCGUCUCCGCCGCUGCACCGCCCACCCUCCAGGCCGGCAAGAUGGAUGAGGCGCGGAGGAUUGCCGAGCUGGAGCGGAAGCUGGUGGAACAGAGGGAGAAGGUGUCCGGGCUGGAGGAGUCGCUCACCAAGAAAGAGGGUGAAAUGGAGGCCAUGGAGGAACGCUACAAGAAAUACCUCGGGAAGGCCAAGUCCGUCAUCAAGACCCUGGACCCCAAGCACAACCCUGCCCUGGUGCCGGACGUCUCACACCUCCGCUCCGCCAUCCAGGAGAAGGAGCGCAUCAUUGAGAACAUGGAGCGUGAAACGGAAAAGAGCAAGAUGGUCAGGGACAUGGAGGAGAAGCUAAUCACCACUGCCUUCUACAACCUGGGUAUGCAGAUGCACCGCCAGAUGAUCAGUCAGCGGCUCUCCACGGUGGACCAGGGCGGCCACUCGUUCAUGGCCCGCCAGCGCCAGGCCUCCACGCGCCGCUCACAGAUGGGCAGCAACGUGGGCAACAGCUCCCGAACCUAAGAAAAGCACCACAACACAAACCAUGAAUUCACCACAACCACCAACAACAGCAGCAACAACAAAAACCGAGUUCUAUGAUUACUAGCCGCUGUGUGCCCGUGUCCGCCACCCUGCAUGACAAGCUCCGUCCAGCGGCCACUACGACGACAUGCGGAUCAGCUGACUCCCACCCGCGGCCGGCAGUGAGGGCGGACGCUGCUGCCGGUGUUGUUGUUAUUACCACUGUUGUUGUUGUUGCUCCCCCUCGAUGGCGGUGGGUUUGUACCUCGAGGCGGCCGUUUGUAUGUAGGGUGUAGGGGGUGGGGUGUGUACGUGGGUGUGGGUGUGGGUGUUCCAUUCUUUCGUCUUUCCAUUCUUAUGUCUAUGUCUGUUUUUCUUCUUCUAUCUAUCUAAUCUAUUUUUUUUUCAUUUCUUUCUUUCUUUCUUCGAUUCUUUUUUCUGUCUUUUUCUAUCUAUCUAAUCUAUUGUGUGUGUUGUUUUUUUAAUUUCUUUUUCCUUCUAUUUUUUUCUAUCUUUUUCUAUCUCUCUAAUCUAUUGUGUGUGUGUGUUUUAUUAAUUUCUUUCUUCCAUUCUAUUAUCUGUAUCUAUUUUUCUAUCUGUCUAUCUCUAUGUCUAUUUUUUUAUCUGUUUUCAUAUUUUUUCUUUAAUGGGUAAGCUCUCAUUUCCCUCUUCCUCCUCCUCCUUUUCCUCUGUCUCCUCCUUCUCCUCUUCUAAUGUGUGUGUGUGUGCGUGUGUGUGUCAGUGACUUUGUAAGGGGUUUAGUAAAGGUUUUAGCAGGAUUUUAUAUAUAUGGGAGGAUACAUGCGUGGGUUGACUUGAUAUUAAUUGACGUAGCUGUUAGGCGUUCAAGGAGAUGCUGAUGGAAAUUUUGAUAUGUCGUUAACUGCCGAGACUCAAAGGAAGACCAGAGCACGCAAGACUUUCAUACGCAAGAUUGCCGAGAAAUUUCACAUGGGAAACUUAUGAGAGAGUUUUGUAUAUGUAGGAUUCUCCAAAUAUCUCUCAUCCGCAAGACUUUCAUAUGCAAGAUUGCCGAGAAGUUUUACAUGGGAAGCUUAUGAGAGAGUUUUGUAUAUGUAAGAUUCUCCAAAUAUCUCUCAUCCGCAAGACUUUCAUAUGCAAGACUGCUGAAAAGUUUUACAUGGGAAGCUUAUGAGAGAGAGUUUUGUAUAUGUAAGAUUCUCCAAAUAUCUCUCAUCCGCAAGACUUUCAUACACAAGAUUGCCUAGAAGUUUUACAUGGGAAGCUUAUGAGAGAGUUUUGCAUAUGUAAGAUUCUCAAAAUAUCUCUCAUCCGUAAGAUCGUUUUGAAGUUUUACAUGGGAAGCUUAUGAGAGAGUUUUGCAUAUGUAAGAUUAUCCAGAUAGUAUUUUGCAUGGAAACUGAUGAAGGGGUGACGGAGCUGGAUCUUUAAGAAUUGCCCAAGUGUGAAAAAGGAAUUUUGAAACCAAGUUAAAAUGCAUUGGACCUGACAUGAAUAUUUUUAGAAACUUACGAAAGAAAGAAUUGCAUAUAGAAGGUGAUUUUAACUUGUCCGACAUGAAGUAGCUGCAUUUUUAGGGAGAAUUAUCGAAGAAUGUGUGAAUGAAGUUGAGUUUUAAUGUGAGAACCAAGUUAAAAUGUGUUAAAACUGACAUGAAUAUUUUUAGAAACCUGGAAAAGAAAGAAUUACAUAUGAAAGAUGAUUUUAAACUUGUCCGUGAUGAAUGAGAAGCAUUUUUAGGGAGAAAUGUUUGAGUUUUAAUGUGAGAACCAAGUUAAAAUGUGUUAAAACUGACAUGCAUAUUUUUUUAUCAACCUGGAAAAGAAAGAAUUACAUAUGGAAGAUGAUUUUAAACUUUUCCGUGAUGGAGAAGCAUUAUUAGGGAGAAAUAUUUGAGUUUUAAUGUGAGAACCAAGUUAAAAUGUGUUAAAACUGAUAUAAAUAUUUAAAAAAAACCUGGAAAAGAAAGAAUUAAAUAUGGAAGGUGAUUUAAAACUUGUCCGUGAUGAAGGAGAAGCAUUUUUAGGGAGAAAUAUUUGAGUUUUAAUGUGAGAACCAAGUUGAAAUGUGUUAAAAUUGACAUAAAUAUUUUUAAAACCUGGGAAAGGAAGAAUUACAUAUGAAAGAUGAUUUUAAACUUGUCCGUGAUGAAUGAGAAACAUUUUUAGGGAGAAAUAUUUGAGUUUUAAUGUGAGAACCAAGUUAAAAUGCGUUACAACUAACACAAAUAUUUUUUAUAGACCUAGAAAAGAAAGAAUGCAUAAAAGAUGAUUAUAACCUUGUCCGUCAUGAAGGAGUUGUAAUUUUUAGGGAGAACUGUCCAAGAACAUGUGAAUAAAUUUUUGAAUAAGUUAAAAUGCAUUACAACUGACACAAAUAUUUUUUUAUAGACCUGGAAAAGAAAGAACACAUAUAAAAGAUGAUUCUAACCUUGUCCGUCAUGAAGGAGUCGUAUUUUUUAAUUUUUUUAUUUAUUUAUCUUUUUUUUUACAGCAGAUGAGUCCAUUCAAGGGCAUAAGAAAAGGUAACAAAUGUGAAAAAAAAAAGCCCGCCACUCAAAUGUUUUUACGGAGAAGUGUCCAACAUGUGAACAGAGUCGAGUUUUUAACGUAGGAAGUGCAAUAAUGAGGAUAGGAUAAUAUUCUCACCCCGGCAACCAUUUCAAACAUUUCUUAACUAAGGGAAGGAAAAUGAAGAGCUGAAAACAGGUGCAUAUAAAAAAACGUGCAAUAAUGAAGAUAGGAAAAUAUAUUGUAACCCUCGGCUUGUGAUGUAGGUGGAAAAGUUAAGGGAAUUUUAAAACACAGCCCUAGAAUGACAAAGGCAACUACAGUUCAGUCGUCCCUCAAAUAGUACGGUUUCCAAUAGUUAGGUUUCGUUUUUCUCACGGAUUGUCAAGGAAGAUCUUUUUAGGAUUUUUAAGUUUCCUGCUCGUAGGGAAAUUCAAAAACCCUAAAAAAAUCUUCUGUGAAAAUCCACAUAAAACCGAAACCGAAUCAUUGGAAACUGUACUAUUUGAGGGACGGCUGUAUAGACCAAAAUCUGUCUGGAAACUGUAAAUUGACUUGGGGAGUUUGUUUACGAAGGUAGUGAACUAAGUGAGAGCUGUUUUUAGUAUGGAAUGUUUGAGAAUAUUUUAUGCCUCAAGAACCACUUUUGUAUCUUGUUUUGUAAGCUCGAAUACCGUGGAAAUGAAGGUCUGCAACGAUAUGAAAAAAGUGUUGUACGUAGUUUUAAAAUGAACGCAUGUUGUAGAUGGUUGCAAGUGCCCAUUCUGGAGGUAACUGAGAAUCGCAUUUGUACCUCAUUUUGUAAGCUUGCCCACAGUGGAAGCGAAGGCAAGGCAUCAAUAAAAGUGCAGUAGUUUUAAAAUGAACACACAUUGUAGAUUGUUGCAAAUACUACCCAUUUUGGAGGUUAACUGAGAAUCGCAUUUGUACCUCAUUUUGUAAGCUCGCCCACAGUGGAAGCGAAGGCAAGGCAUCAAUAUAAAAAAGUGCAGUAGUUUUAAAAUGAACACACAUUGUAGAUCAUUGCAAAUACUACCCAUUUUGGAGGUUAACUGAGAAUCGCAUUUGUACCUCAUUUUGUAAGCUCGCCCACAGUGGAAGCGAAGGCAAGGCAUCAAUAAAAGUGCAGUAGUUUUAAAAUGAACACACAUUGUAGAUCGUUGCAAAUACUACCCAUUUUGGAGGUUAACUGAGAAUCGCAUUUGUACCUCAUUUUGUAAGCUCGCCCACAGUGGAAACGAAGGCAAGGCAUCAAUAUAAAAAAGUACAGUAGUGUUAAGAUGAAUUCACGUUGUAGUCGCUAGUACCAUUCUGCAGGUAAACUUUUCUUAAUCCCAUACAAGUGCAGACAGAAGUAUUGAUCCACCUUACUCUAAGCUCGAACUCUGCCCUCCCUCCACAUGGCAGGCCACGUGGUGAGGAAAGGUGGAGCGUACAGAAGGAAGAGGGAAGGGAGGGAUGAUCUUGUAGGAGGUAGACAAAAUUUAGGAUACAGAGAAGGUGAGGGAGAGGAAAAUGAGGGAUGAAAGGGUGAGUGAGAGAUUAGCAAGUAAGAGAGAGAAGAAAAAAAUGGAAGAGUGGAAUGUGAGGAAGGAAAAGGAAAAUGGGAGAUGGAAGUAAGGAAGGAGAAAGAAAGAGGAAGGAAGAGAGAAAUGAGACAAAAAUAUGGAAGUGUAGAGUGGGAAAGAAAGGAAGAUUCGGAAAGGAGAUUAGACAUUCAGAAAGAAGAAACGGUAGAUGAAAUUUGGCAUAGAGAAAACAAAGAAAACUGAAAGUGUUGAGUGUGAGGAAGGAAGAGAGAAAUGAGAUACAAAACUAGACAUUCAGAAAAGACAAAAGUGUGGAAUGAGAAAGAAAGGAAGCAUAGGACAGGAGACUAGACAUUCAGAAGGAAGAAACGGUAGACGAGAUUUGGCAUGCAGGAAAGAGAUGCCGUUUCAGAUCGCUGAGUUAGGUGGAGUAGUGAUAACAUUUCUAUCUGCACUUGUACUCGAUCACGGUGAUGGUGGUGGCGGGGACAGACACAAUAUAAAUAAAGCACACUUCCUGCACAACUCACGGGGAAAAAUAUAUCAGAAAACGCAGCAAAAAAAAUGAUAGUUGAUAAUUAAGUAUGAUUAGACGUAACCUCUUUUUUUGCAUUUUUUUUUAAUUGUUUGUUUUUAGUCGUAAUCGCUUAGCCGUGUCUCAAAAAACCUGCACAAAGGGAUUUUAUGGUUCGUGAAUGAGUGUGUGAAAGUUGUGACUUGUUGAAGGGGAAAGGUAAAGUUUAUAAUAGGAAAAAAUAAAAAAAAGUUGUGAUCUGUGAGGGAAAAAGUAGAGUUUGUAAUGGGAAAAAAGUAAAUAGUUGUGAUAUGUGAGGGAAAAGGUAGAGUUUGUUAGAGGAAAAAAAUGUGUAAAGUUGUGAUUUGUUGAAGGGAAAAAGUAGAGUGUAAUAGGAAAAAUAUCAAAAAAGUUAUGAUCUGUGAGGGAAAAAGUGGAGUUUGUAAUAGGAAAAAAUAUAAAAAAGUUGUGAUCUGUGAGGGAAAAAGUAAAGUUUGUUAGAGGAAAAAAAUGUGAAAAGUUGUGAUUUGUGAGGGAAAGUUAAAGUUUGUAAUAGGAAAAAAUGUAAAAAAGUUGUGAUUUGUGAUGAAAAAAUAGUUUGUGAUAUGAAAAAAAUGUAAAAAGUUUUGAUUAUUGAAGGGAAAAGUAAAGUUUGUUAGAGGAAAAAAUAUAAAAAGUUGUGAUUUGUGUGGAAAGGUAGAAUUUGUAAUAGGAAAAAAGUAAAUAGUUGUGAUUUGUGAGGGAAAAAGUAGAGUUUGUUAGAGGAAAAAAAUGUUAAAAGUUGUGAUUUGUUGAAAGGAAGAAGUAAAGUUUGUAAUAGGAAAAAAGUAAAUAGUUGUGAUUUGUGAGAGAAAAAGUAGAGUUUGUAGUAAUAGGAAAAAAAUAAAAAGUUGUGAUUUGUGACGGAAAAAGUAAAGUUUGUUAGAGGAAAAAAAUGUGAAAAGUUGUGAUUUGUGACAGAAGAAGAUUAAGAUUAAGAUUAAGAAGAUUAAGAGGAAAUGGAAAAGGAUUAUGUGUUUUAGAAGAUGAUUAAGAGGUUUACAGGUGGUUUGCAAGGAGGAGGAAGAGCAUCAAGAGAUUUAGAAGAGGAUUAAGAAGAAAGGGAGGAGGAUUAAGAGAAAAGUUUGUAAUCGGAGAAAAUGUAAAAAGUUGUGAUUGUUGAAGGGAAGAAGUAAAAGUUUCCAAGUGGAAAAGAACGUAAAGAUGGAAAGUCGAGUUGAGCGAAUAUUUUUUUACGGGAAAGAAACGGACUCAAGGGCAAACAAACAAACAAACACAGAGGCCCAGAAAAUAAAAUAAUCCCCCCAAAAACAAAUAAAUAAACAAACUCAAGGGCAGAAAAACAACCAAAAAAAAAGCCUUGAAAACAAAGUCCCCCAAAAAACUAAAGAAUGCCUAAAAAAAAUAAAAAAAAAGCAUAAUAGUUUGAGCGUAAAGCCUAGAUUUGUAAAAGAUAACAUGGGGUUUGAAUACACACACAAGAAAAAGAAGAAACACACAAAAAAAGAAGGUUUGGAAGAUUAGUUUUAAGUGAACGGUCAAGUUGUUAAUUGUUUCAUCUGGUAACAUUUGAACAUACAGUCGUCCCUCAAAUAGUACAGUCUCCAAUAGUUCAGUUUCGGUUUUAUACGGAUUGUCGUAGAAGAUCUUUUAGGAUUUUUAAAUUUCCUGCUUGUCGGGAAAUUCAAAAACUCUUAAAAAUAUCUUCUACGAAAAUCUACGUAAAACCAAAACCGAACUAUUGGAAACCGUACUAUUUGAGGGAUGACUUUACUCUGAAUCAGUCUCGCAUGUGUUUUUAUAGAAUGAUGAAUAAGUGCAAUAAUGAAGAGCAGGAAGGUGUUUUUUCUUGACUCCGCAACCAUUUCAAAUAUCUCAAAACAUACUGAAAUUUGGAGGAAAUAUAAAGUUUGUAUGUAAAGUCUUGAGUUAAUAUAAAGCGAUGUUAAUGUUACACUCAAGCACGACUGAUCUUGCUUAUGCCACACAGAUGUACAAGUGGAAGUCUUCAUUUGUGAGGAGGAAACGUGAAGUUAGCAAGGAAAAAUUUAGCGUGUGUGAAGUUGAGAGAACAGUUCAGUUUGAAUGUAAAGUUUAGGGUAAUUUGAGCACUCCCAGAAUCAGCCUGUCGUGUGUUUUUAUCCCAAAGAAACUAAACUAAAUGGUGGUUCGUGGCGCACUAAACCCAGAGCCAGAGAAGAGGAGAGUGGCCAGCUUCAUCACGGACGCCUUGUUGUUGUCAAAAGAGUUGCUUGAAAAAGGGGAAAAAAAAAAGAAAAAAAAAACACUGGUAGAAGUUUUUAGCGAGAGUUUUAGAGGGAAAAAACAGUAACAACAACUACUACCACUACCAACAACAACAUACAACAUAAAAUACAAAUUGAUUCUGAUAAAGCCGUGUUUUUUGUGUUCUAGGUAUGGUUAAGGUCUCUUAUAAGUACCCAGAGAAUGAAAAACACUCGUAUCGGCAUCUAUUUCAAUUUCACGCAGGUCUUUUAGUGACAACAUGGGUCUGUGAAGGUGGGCAGACUCUCCUAUUUUGCGGCGCUGGCUCGAACCACCUCACAAGGGCCUUACAUAGGAUAUAAAGUAGGUAGGAUACAUUCAUCGGUUUGUAUGUGUCAUCCUAGCCAGUGCACCUUAAAAAUAUAGCUAGGAAAAUUGAGGUGAGGUAUAAGUUUUGUGUUAUUCUAGCUUAAAACUAAAUGGAAUGGGUAUGAGUUUGUGUUAUGUAUAUUAGCGUAACACUGUGUUAAGUGACUGUAAGUUUGUGUUGAGGAAGACGUGAGAAGGAUGAACGCCAGGGAGGAGAGAGAGUGGGAGAGACUCAUAGCCUGUCCAACCCCAUAAAGGAAGAUAAGGACAUUAAGCAAAAAGAAAAAGAAAAUAAGUGAAUAUAUAAGUUUGUGUUGAGGAAGACAUGAGAAGGAUGAACGCCAGGGAGGAGAGAGAGUAUGAUUUUUUAAGAGUGGGAGAGACUCAUAGCCUGUCCAACCCCAUGAAGGAAGAUAAGGACAUUAAGCGAAAAGAAGAAGAAAAUAAGUGAAUAUGUAAGAUCGUGUUGAUGAUAUGAGAAGAAUGAACACCAGGGAGGAGAGAGAGUAUGAUCAUCAAGAUUGGGAGAGACUCAUAGCCUGUCCGACCCCAUAAAGGAAAAUUAGGAUGUUAAGCUAAAAGAAGAAGAAAAGAAGUGAACAUGUAAGCUUGUGUUAUAUUAGCUGAAAAGUAAAUUCAUAUGCCUGUUUUAUGUUAUUUUACCAGGAAACUAAAUUGAGUGACGUUAGAGGUUUGUGUUAUUUUAGCGUUAAACUAAGACGAAUGGGUAUAAGUUUAGUUUAGUCUGCGGUAAUUUUAUUUGUGGAGAUUUUGAGCUGUACGGGUGUGUUUACAGAGGGAGGCUAAAUCAUGGUUCGUUGGGCGGUCGUGAAAUUUUUCCAUGAAGAGUGUUUUGUUUUAACCCGGUAGCUGCGGGGAUCAUGUUUCUUAAAGGUCCUUCUAAGCGAAUUAAUGAGAAAAAAUUAUCACUCACGCAUAUCACUAAAUAACAGAUAUCAAUGCAUUUGUGAUCAGUGUAUGCAUCCUCUAUUUUUUUGGGUUAUGUCAAGGCAAUAAUGAGGCUUGUCGCUGGUACGCGGUAAAGCCACAAAUUUGGCCCGUCGCUGCUGCCGGGUUAAGAAUGUGAUUGCUAUGUGAACCCGAGCUGGUAAUACUGGUGUCCCGUAGGGUGUGUUAUAAGCAUAAUAAGCCAGGGUUCAUUACUAUCACUAAACAAACCAAAGCGUCAACACAUUUCUUAUUUAUAGUUUUUGGUAUAAUAUUUUAACCCGGUAGCAGCGGGGAUCAUGUUUCUUAACGGUCCCUCUAAGCGAGAAAAUUGAGAAAAAAUCACCCCUCACACAAACCAUUUCAUAAUACAUAUCAAAGCAUUUCUGAUCAGUUUAUGUAUCAUCUAUUUUUUGGGGUUUAUAUCAUGGCACAAAUUUGGCCCAUCGCUGCUACAUGGUAAAGCCACAAAUUUGGCCCGUCGUUGCUACACGGUAAAGCCACAAAUUUGGCCCGUCGCUGCUACCGGGUUGAGGGUAAAUUCACUAACUUGCCAUUUUUUAACACAAGUAUUGCCUGAAACUUUUGGAGCUGUUCUUUUAAAGUAUUGUGAUGGUUUUAAACACUGACUUGCUAAUAUUUUAAUCUACAUUUUUAGUUUUGUUUUAAUACCAUGUACUUGGACGGGUGCAACAAGCAGGUGUACUCAUCAAUAAAAUGUUGCUUUUC